This 790-nucleotide small RNA is filed under the name Pongo abelii (Sumatran orangutan). RNAcentral's name for it is "retained intron". Lineage: Eukaryota; Metazoa; Chordata; Mammalia; Primates; Hominidae. The record is from RNAcentral.
CCAGAGUGACCUCGACGACCAGCACGACUACGACAGCGUGGCCUCUGACGAGGACACAGACCAGGAGCCCCUGCGCAGCACUGGUGCCACUCGGAGCAACCGCGCCCGGAGCAUGGACUCCUCGGACUUGUCUGACGGGGCUGUGACGCUGCAGGAGUACCUGGAGCUGAAGAAGGCCCUGGCUACAUCGGAGGCAAAGGUGCAGCAGCUCAUGAAGGUCAACAGUAGCCUGAGCGACGAGCUCCGGAGGCUGCAGCGAGAGGUGAGGGUGCAGCCUCGGUGGGAGGGGGAGCCCCAGGACUCCAGGGGGUUGACAGCACUUUGCACCCAUAGAUCCACAAGCUGCAGGCGGAGAACCUGCAGCUCCGGCAGCCUCCAGGGCCGAUGCCCACACCUCCACUCCCCAGUGAAAGGGCGGAGCACACACCCAUGGCGCCAGGUGGGAGCACACACCGCAGGGACCGCCAGGCCUUCUCCAUGUAUGAACCUGGCUCCGCCCUGAAGCCCUUUGGAGGCCCCCCUGGGGACGAGCUCACGACACGGCUGCAGCCUUUCCACAGCACUGUGAGUCACCUGUGGGUCUCAAGGUGUGAGGAGAUGGGUGGGGCUGCCGCAGGGUCCACCAUGACGCUCGCUGUGCUAACAUCCCCAGGAGCUAGAGGACGACGCCAUCUAUUCAGUGCACGUCCCUUCUGGCCUUUACCGGAUCCGGAAAGGGGUGUCUGCCUCAGCUGUGCCCUUCACUCCCUCCUCCCCGCUGCUGUCCUGCUCCCAGGAGGGAAGCCGCCAC